This 324-nucleotide ribosomal RNA is filed under the name uncultured Acidobacteriota bacterium. RNAcentral's name for it is "bacterial SSU rRNA". It matches the Rfam family "Bacterial small subunit ribosomal RNA", at positions 29 to 351 of the family's 1533-position model. Lineage: Bacteria; Pseudomonadati; Acidobacteriota. The record is from RNAcentral.
AAUGAACGCUGGCGGCGUGCCUAACACAUGCAAGUCGGAUGUGCCGCAAGGUGCAUGGCAGACGGGUGAGUAACGCGUGGGGAAUCUACCUUUUUGUGGGGAAUAACGUUCCGAAAGGAAUGGUAAUACCGCAUGUGACCAUGGUUUUGGGAUAGUCAUGGUGAAAGCUGGGGACCGCAAGGCCUAGCGCAAGAAGAGGAUCCUGCGUCUGAUUAGCUAGUUGGUGAGGUAACGGCCCAACAAGGGCAACGAUCAGUAGCCGGCCUGAGAGGGUGAUCGGCCACACUGGAACUGAGACACGGUCCAGACUCCUACGGGUGGCAG